CCUGAUCCAGCCAUGCCGCGUGUGUGAAGAAGGUCUUCGGAUUGUAAAGCACUUUUGUCUGGGAAGAAAGGCAGUAAGUUAAUACCUUGCUGUUUUGACGGUACCACAGAAUAAGCACCGGCUAACUUCGUGCCAGC
RNAcentral lists this ribosomal RNA (137 nucleotides) under uncultured bacterium. Its description in RNAcentral is "partial 16S ribosomal RNA". It matches the Rfam family "Bacterial small subunit ribosomal RNA", at positions 382 to 512 of the family's 1533-position model. The record is from RNAcentral.